Molecule: unclassified non-coding RNA, 387 nt
Filed under: Hevea brasiliensis (rubber tree)
Lineage: Eukaryota; Viridiplantae; Streptophyta; Magnoliopsida; Malpighiales; Euphorbiaceae
Source: RNAcentral
UGAAAAUCUAUCCCAAAAAAAAUGCAUAAAUGACAGGAUCUUUGUCCAAAAUACAAAAUGACACGCAAAUUGCAAAUUUCAGGUUCCAACCUUACAUAGAGACAACCUAAGUUAAUUGUAGUAGAUCUUGGCAGCUGUAUUUCCUCAAAGAAAUAGCUCUGAAGGGCCUGUCGGCUAUCAGAGCCAGCUAGACGGCCAGAAGGCAUGGAUGCUAUACCCGGUCUUCCAAUUAUCCAGAUAAAUGACCUUGCUCACAGCCCAGUACGACACCAACAGCGCCACCAGCAUAAACCCCCUCUGCACCGUGACACUAUUCACCCGCACAAGAAGAUGAGUCACAAACGCCAACAGCAGGCCCACCACCGUAUACAGAAACCCGACGAUAAA